UAGGAUGUAGCUCAGUGGUAGAGUGCUUGCCUAGUAUAAAGCCCUGGGUUCAAUUCCCAGCACCCCAC
Molecule: transfer RNA, 68 nt
Filed under: Marmota marmota marmota (Alpine marmot)
Lineage: Eukaryota; Metazoa; Chordata; Mammalia; Rodentia; Sciuridae
Also listed under: 1 other name
Rfam family: tRNA
About the family: Transfer RNA (tRNA) molecules are approximately 80 nucleotides in length. Their secondary structure includes four short double-helical elements and three loops (D, anti-codon, and T loops).
Source: Rfam by way of RNAcentral